UGGGUGACAUCAACUUGAUACGAGGGC
Molecule: non-coding RNA, 27 nt
Filed under: Homo sapiens (human)
Lineage: Eukaryota; Metazoa; Chordata; Mammalia; Primates; Hominidae
Source: RNAcentral